This 481-nucleotide ribosomal RNA is filed under the name uncultured bacterium. RNAcentral describes it as "partial 16S ribosomal RNA". It matches the Rfam family "Bacterial small subunit ribosomal RNA", at positions 28 to 507 of the family's 1533-position model. The record is from RNAcentral.
GAUGAACGCUGGCGGCGUGCUUAACACAUGCAAGUCGAACGAAGCAUUUGCGACAGAUUUUUUCGGAAUGAAGUUGCUUAUGACUGAGUGGCGGACGGGUGAGUAACGCGUGGGUAACCUGCCUUGUGCUGGGGGAUAGCAGCUGGAAACGGCUGGUAAUACCGCAUAAGCGCACAAUGUUGCAUGACAUGGUGUGAAAAACUCCGGUGGUAUAAGAUGGACCCGCGUCUGAUUAGCUAGUUGGUGAGAUAACAGCCCACCAAGGCGACGAUCAGUAGCCGACCUGAGAGGGUGACCGGCCACAUUGGGACUGAGACACGGCCCAGACUCCUACGGGAGGCAGCAGUGGGGAAUAUUGCACAAUGGAGGAAACUCUGAUGCAGCGACGCCGCGUGAGUGAAGAAGUAAUUCGUUAUGUAAAGCUCUAUCAGCAGGGAAGAUAGUGACGGUACCUGACUAAGAAGCUCCGGCUAAAUACGUG